UACACACCGCCCGUCACACCAUGGAAGCCGGUAACACCCGAAGCCGGUGGCCCAACCCGCAAGGGAGGCAGCCAGCCACGGUGGGAUCAGCGACUGGGGUG
RNAcentral lists this ribosomal RNA (101 nucleotides) under uncultured bacterium. Its description in RNAcentral is "partial 16S ribosomal RNA". It matches the Rfam family "Bacterial small subunit ribosomal RNA", at positions 1384 to 1482 of the family's 1533-position model. The record is from RNAcentral.